This is a long non-coding RNA of Anthonomus grandis grandis, 1413 nucleotides long. RefSeq lists it as uncharacterized. The transcript is spliced from 3 exons. NCBI's taxonomy places the organism in Eukaryota, Metazoa, Arthropoda, Insecta, Coleoptera, Curculionidae. The record is from RefSeq and is a predicted model, not a curated record.
UUUUAAAGAUAAAUAGAUAUUUAUCGGCUUGCAUCGUUCAGUAUUGUUUAGCCACUCCUUUGUGAAAUAACAUCAAUUAGCAUCUUUUUGUUUCGAAUUAGAAACUUCGAUCACGGUCAUAGUGAUAGUGUAAUAAUAGGUUUUGUACACCUCUUGGGUACAUCCUAGAGGGCACUGUCAGUGACACUCCGAGGUGAUAAAAACGUAUACAACUUUUUUGUGUCUCAGUGUAUAUGAAAUUUUCAUGAAAAUGCAGCUUUUCAAUUAAUAUUACUCUAGACAGGUAUAGAGCUUGUCGAAUCGCUGGGAGCGACCAGUUUCGAGAUAAUUGAAUCUUUGUUGGAUUCUAAUGCUGCCUAAAUAAAAAAUGCUAAAGUAUUUAAAAAGACAGAGCUAAACAGUGCUAUCAAAACUAACCCAAAUAAGAAAAAGUAAGAAGAAAGCGCUAUAUCCUGCAUUAUGAUGAUAUUCGUAUAUAGCCAAGAAAAUUUAAAAAGCACGAAGAGCGCGCUGGCGAUAUGUGGAUAUAUUUCCAAAUAGAAGGCAUCCUAAUUUAAAAACUUUCAACCACUUGAGCAUUAGUUGUAAGAUUUAAAAAAAAAUUCCAUUGCUGUUGAUAUUACCGUUUUGUUUUGGUUUCAUAUGUUCUAUGUAAUCAUAUUAUAAUAUAAUAUAUAUAAUAAAUUGUUGUAUUAAACACUUAUUUAACGAUUAAAUUAAGAUAUCUUGUCUUUACAAAACACAUGGCUAUACUGGACACCUUAUUACCAUACUAUUCAUUAAUUGAACACAAUAAAAAAUUGAAGCAUUAAAAAUUCAAUUACCUGACAAACGGUAGCUCUAAGCGACUCGACAAAGGUGUAAAUGAUGGAAAUUUGAAGAUUUCUAUGAAUAAUCCGUAUACUCUAAGUAUACGGAUUAUUUAGGCACAAAAAAGUUGUACGCGUUUUUAUCCAGUCGGAGUGUUGCCGAGAGCGCCAUCUAGGAUUCACACAAAUUAAAAUCGAACUCAAAUUUGUCAACACCAAAAACCCUUCAUUGCCAAAUUUUAGGCUGAUAUGUUUCUUUUUGUAUGAAUUACUAAGAAAUAAUGAGAUUAAAACUUUAACAUCCUGUAUCUCAGUUAUUAUCAAUUUUCGAACUAGAAAUAUUUAGUCCAAUUGUAACAUUCUCAACCAAAGAAUAUGCCGUUGUUCUAUGCCGACUAAGUUAUGCGACACCCUGCAUAGACAGUGUGGCAAAACAAGAUUCUCGAUUUAAAUAUGAUAGUCCACAUAGCGCCAUAGAAAUCCAUUUUCUUACCGUUCCUACUUUCUUCCUAUUAUUUUUAACAGGACUAUAAAUUUUAUUAUUACUCAUAUGUAAAAUAAAUAAAACAGUAAAAAAAAAUAAAAAAGAACAAUAUAAAAUAAA